UACAGAGGUCUCGAGCUUUAGUCAGAAUCACUGGGCUUAAAGCGUGUGUAGGCGGAUCUGUAAGUACCUUGUGAAAUCCCACAGCUUAACUGUGGAACUGCUUGGUAUACUGCCGGUCUUGAGCCAGCUAGGGGCUACCGGAACAAAUGGUGGAGCGGUGAAAUGCGUAGAUAUCAUUUGGAACGCCAAUGGUGAAAACAGGUAGCUGGGGCUGUGCUGACGCUGAGACACGAAAGCAAGGGGAGCAAACGGG
RNAcentral lists this ribosomal RNA (253 nucleotides) under uncultured bacterium. Its description in RNAcentral is "partial 16S ribosomal RNA". It matches the Rfam family "Bacterial small subunit ribosomal RNA", at positions 524 to 776 of the family's 1533-position model. The record is from RNAcentral.